UAAGCCAUGCAUGUCUAAGUAUAAACGAUUUAAUCGUGAAACCGCGAAUGGCUCAUUAUAACAGCUAUAAUUUACUUGAUCUUGACACAAUCCUACUUGGAUAACUGUGGUAAUUCUAGAGCUAAUACAUGCAUUAAAGCUCUGACCUCACGGGAAGAGUGCAUUUAUUAGAACAAAACCAAGCGGCUUCGGCUGUUUCUGGUUGACUCAUAGUAACUGAGCUGAUCGCAUGGUCUUGCACCGGCGACGUGUCUUUCAAGUAUCUGCCGUAUCAACUUUCGAUGGUAGUGUAUCUGACUACCAUGGUGAUCACGCGUAACGGAGAAUAAGGGUUCGGCUCCGGAGAGUUCGCCUGAGAAAUCGCGAACACAUCUAAGGAAGGCAGCAGGCGCGAAAAUUACCCACUCUCAGCACGAGGAGGUAGUGACGAAAAAUAACGAGACCGUUCUCUUAUGAGGCCGGUCAUCGGAAUGGGUACAAUUUAAACCCUUUAACGAGUAUCUAUAGAGG
This 510-nucleotide ribosomal RNA is filed under the name unidentified nematode Sourhope farm. Its description in RNAcentral is "SSU rRNA". It matches the Rfam family "Eukaryotic small subunit ribosomal RNA", at positions 45 to 554 of the family's 1831-position model. The record is from RNAcentral. Lineage: Eukaryota; Metazoa; Nematoda.